AUCAGCCUUUCGGGUGCGAUUCUGUGGAGUUUGAGGAGCUUAACACCUUCAUGCUUUGCAUAUUCGUGCUCUUGGGUGUACUUGCCCGUGUGGUUGGUUAACAUCAAUUUUGGUGGUCAUAAAAUGACUGGAGGAAUGUAGCUUCGAUCUUGUAUUGAAGUGUUAUAGCCUUCGGUAGAUGUGAUGAUCGAGAUUGAGGAUUGCAACGGAUACCCUUCGGGGCUACCUGUCUGGUCUCUGAUCGUUGCUCUGGUGCCGAAAGCUUGCUUACGGUUAUCAAAGUCGAUGGUCAAUAGGUUAGAACGGGUUAAAUUCGUUAAGGAUGUUGACGUAAUGGCUUU
Molecule: ribosomal RNA, 341 nt
Filed under: uncultured Glomeromycotina
Lineage: Eukaryota; Fungi; Glomeromycota
Description: eukaryotic LSU rRNA
Source: RNAcentral